AUGUGACGUCACAUCCGCUCCAGAUUGUAGACAAACGCCAUCUUGGCGGUCAAGCGCCAUAUUUCCGCCGCCUUUCCGACGCUGACUUUCUUUUUUUUUUUUUGCCGAAAUAUUCAAAAAUUACCGUGCCACAAUGCCGGAUACUUGCAUGGCAUAUAAAUGCCACAACAGGAGAGGUCAGAAAACAGGAAGAAAGUUUCAUAGGCUGCCACGGGACCUUGACAGGCGCGCAAAAUGGAUUGCUGCUAUCGGAAGUUUGUGUGGAUUUAUAUGUAAAUCCACACAAACAUAUGUUUUUGUUAGAAUUGUGGAUGUAUCGUAAAGGUAUUCUAUGAUGGCUCUCUUUUUUUUGUUUUAAUGUCGUGGUCGUGAAAACGCCGUUCGGUAAGCCAUAAGGGUCACAAAUCUGUAGACCGUUUAUUUUAGACAUGUAUCUAAUUAUCUGAUCCAAACAACAAGAACAAGGCAUGGGUACCGACUGGAAUGAGCGAUCACUGGCGCCUGUGCAGUGACCAUUUCAUCUCAGGUUUACCCGAACUCCUUCAAAAGAUGGAAGAUUUGAAGAGAUCAGUAGUAACCCAUUCCCCUGCUAUCAGUAAGGAAAGACAGGAACCCCUUACAGAGUUCAUAUCAACACCGCCAGUACAUGUUCGAGCACAGAACACUCUUUGCUCAUCACAGUCUUUGGCAGUGACGCCCACUUCAUCUCGGCCUGCGACCGAGUUUGAGAAGUGCUUUCGCAAUUAUUUUCAGUACCAUCUCACUUCAAGUUAGAUUGAUUGCUGAAGAAUUGAUAAUUAUUAAUAUGUGCAGCACCUAGCUGCUUGGCCUCCAGUGUGGCAAGAGUGCUAACAACCGACAAUUCGAUUCUAAGGUCGGAAAUUUCCACUCUGUGCCCCUCUUUCUCAUCUCAUCUCAUUAUCUCUAGCCGCUUUAUCCUUCUACAGGGUCGCAGGCAAGCUGGAGCCUAUCCCAGCUGACUACGGGCGAAAGGCAGGGUACACCCUGGACAAGUCGCCAGGUCAUCACAGGGCUGACACAUAGACACAGACAACCAUUCACACCUACGGUCAAUUUAGAGUCACCAGUUAACCUAACCUGCAUGUCUUUGGACUGUGGGGGAAACCGGAGCACCCGGAGGAAACCCACGCGGACACGAGGAGAACAUGCAAACUCCGCACAGAAAGGCUCUCGCCGGCCACGGGGCUUGAACCCAGGACCUUCUUGCUGUGAGGCGACAGCGCUAACCACUACAGCACCGUGCCGCCGCCCCUCUUUCUAGAUCUCCCAAUUAUGAUUGCAUUACCAUUAUGUUGACCUUGGAUUUGGGGUGUCUGUAAAUGCUUCAGAUUUACAGUAUGUGAGCAGAGUAGAUUUAAGGAAAACUACAUAUACCAUAUGUGAAACAGUGUUUUCCUGAACUGAGCUGGCUGAUUGUAGUGUAACGGGGAAGAAGUCCAAUGCCUUCAAGGAUCAAACUGAAAGACCCAUGUUGGAUGAAAACAAAGUUUCUGUUGUCAUAUACUUUGUGAAGAGACUUCAUCCAGGGAGUGAAGAAAAGAUGAUUAAGAAAACCAUUGGUGCAAAACUCAACAUUUGUCAAAAACUGGAGCGAAGAAAAAUACAGAACACGACUUACUUCAGAACAAUUUUGCUAUGUUUUAAUCCAACCAUUCCUUUAAUUUUUGAUCCUUUUUGUAUAGCUGUUUUAAAACUUUUAUGAAACAUUUUCUAUUUUCCUGUUGACUAUAAAUAAAUAUUCAGAUUGCUUUUAUCA
Long non-coding RNA from Neoarius graeffei (lesser salmon catfish), 1777 nucleotides. RefSeq lists it as uncharacterized. The record is from RefSeq and is a predicted model, not a curated record. The transcript has 4 exons. Lineage: Eukaryota; Metazoa; Chordata; Actinopteri; Siluriformes; Ariidae.